GUGAGGAAUAUUGCACAAUGGGCGAAAGCCAGAUGCAGCAACGCCGCGUGAGGGAUGAAGGCCUUCGGGUCGUAAACCUCUUUUCUGAGGGACGAGAUCAGGACGGUACCUCGGGAAUAAGUCUCGGCUAACUACGUGCCAGCAGCCGCGGUAAAACGUAGGAGGCGAGCGUUAUCCGGAUUUACUGGGCGUAAAGCGCACGCAGGCGGCUCUGUGAGUCGGACGUGAAAGCUCCUGGCUUAACUGGGAGAGGUCGUUCGAUACUGCAGGGCUUGAGGUUGGGAGAGGGGUGUGGAAUUCCCGGUGUAGUGGUGGAAUGCGUAGAUAUCGGGAGGAACACCAGUGGCGAAAGCGGCACCCUGGCCCACACCUGACGCUGAGGUGCGAAAGCGUGGGUAGCAAACAGGAUUAGAUACCCUAGUAGUCC
RNAcentral lists this ribosomal RNA (427 nucleotides) under uncultured bacterium. RNAcentral describes it as "bacterial SSU rRNA". It matches the Rfam family "Bacterial small subunit ribosomal RNA", at positions 354 to 796 of the family's 1533-position model. The record is from RNAcentral.